RNAcentral lists this ribosomal RNA (492 nucleotides) under uncultured bacterium. Its description in RNAcentral is "partial 16S ribosomal RNA". It matches the Rfam family "Bacterial small subunit ribosomal RNA", at positions 29 to 507 of the family's 1533-position model. The record is from RNAcentral.
AGUGAACGCUGGCGGUAGGCCUAACACAUGCAAGUCGAACGGCAGCACAGUAAGAGCUUGCUCUUACGGGUGGCGAGUGGCGGACGGGGGAGGAAUACAUCGGAAUCUACUUUUUCGUGGGGGAUAACGAAGGGAAACUUACGCUAAUACCGCAUACGACCUACGGGUGAAAGCAGGGGAUCUUCGGACCUUGCGCGAUUGAAUGAGCCGAUGUCGGAUUAGCUAGUUGGCGGGGUAAAGGCCCACCAAGGCGACGAUCCGUAGCUGGUCUGAGAGGAUGAUCAGCUACACUGGAACUGAGACACGGUCCAGACCACUACGCGAGGCAGCGGUGGGGAAUAUUGGACAAUUGGCGCAAGCCUGAUCCAGCCAUACCGCGUAGGUGAAGAAGGCCUUCGGGUUGGAAAGCCCUUUUGUUGGGAAAGAAAAGCAGCAGGUUAAUACCCCGCUGUUCUGACGGUACCCAAAGAAUAAGCACCGGCUAACUUCGUG